RNAcentral lists this ribosomal RNA (253 nucleotides) under uncultured bacterium. RNAcentral's name for it is "partial 16S ribosomal RNA". It matches the Rfam family "Bacterial small subunit ribosomal RNA", at positions 524 to 776 of the family's 1533-position model. The record is from RNAcentral.
GACGAACCGAGCGAACGUUGUUCGGAAUCACUGGGCGUAAAGGGUGCGUAGGCGGCGCGGUAAGUCGGGUGUGAAAUCUCGGAGCUUAACUCCGAAACUGCAUUCGAUACUGCCGUGCUUGAGGACUGGAGAGGAGACUGGAAUUUACGGUGUAGCGGUGAAAUGCGUAGAUAUCGUAAGGAAGACCAGUGGCGAAGGCGGGUCUCUGGACAGUUCCUGACGCUGAGGCACGAAGGCCAGGGGAGCAAACGGG